This 885-nucleotide ribosomal RNA is filed under the name uncultured Staphylococcus sp. Its description in RNAcentral is "bacterial SSU rRNA". It matches the Rfam family "Bacterial small subunit ribosomal RNA", at positions 28 to 892 of the family's 1533-position model. The record is from RNAcentral. Lineage: Bacteria; Bacillati; Bacillota; Bacilli; Caryophanales; Staphylococcaceae.
GAUGACGCUGGCGGCGUGCCUAAUACAUGCAAGUCGAGCGAACAGACGAGGAGCUUGCUCCUCUGACGUUAGCGGCGGACGGGUGAGUAACACGUGGAUAACCUACCUAUAAGACUGGGAUAACUUCGGGAAACCGGAGCUAAUACCGGAUAAUAUAUUGAACCGCAUGGUUCAAUAGUGAAAGACGGUUUUGCUGUCACUUAUAGAUGGAUCCGCGCCGCAUUAGCUAGUUGGUAAGGUAACGGCUUACCAAGGCAACGAUGCGUAGCCGACCUGAGAGGGUGAUCGGCCACACUGGAACUGAGACACGGUCCAGACUCCUACGGGAGGCAGCAGUAGGGAAUCUUCCGCAAUGGGCGAAAGCCUGACGGAGCAACGCCGCGUGAGUGAUGAAGGUCUUCGGAUCGUAAAACUCUGUUAUUAGGGAAGAACAAAUGUGUAAGUAACUAUGCACGUCUUGACGGUACCUAAUCAGAAAGCCACGGCUAACUACGUGCCAGCAGCCGCGGUAAUACGUAGGUGGCAAGCGUUAUCCGGAAUUAUUGGGCGUAAAGCGCGCGUAGGCGGUUUUUUAAGUCUGAUGUGAAAGCCCACGGCUCAACCGUGGAGGGUCAUUGGAAACUGGAAAACUUGAGUGCAGAAGAGGAAAGUGGAAUUCCAUGUGUAGCGGUGAAAUGCGCAGAGAUAUGGAGGAACACCAGUGGCGAAGGCGACUUUUCUGGUCUGUAACUGACGCUGAUGUGCGAAAGCGUGGGGAUCAAACAGGAUUAGAUACCCCUGGUAGUCCACGCCGUAAACGAUGAGUGCUAAGUGUUAGGGGGGUUUCCGCCCCUUAGUGCUGCAGCUAACGCAUUAAGCACUCCGCCUGGGGAGUACGACCGCNAG